Meriones unguiculatus (Mongolian gerbil) is the source of this 2465-nucleotide RNA transcript. It is a transcript of the gene named ribophorin II, with no coding region annotated. The record is from RefSeq and is a predicted model, not a curated record. Lineage: Eukaryota; Metazoa; Chordata; Mammalia; Rodentia; Muridae. The transcript is spliced from 19 exons.
AGCUCAUCCUGGCCAGCGGAGCUUGCCGCGGGUCCCUGGCGUCCCCUCCGGCGCGCUCUUGGAGCCACUUCCCGGAGCGGAAGUCUGUCUGCUCGGACUCCGGUGGGACCUGCUCGGAGGAAUGGCGCCGCCGGGUUCAAGCGCUGUCUUCGUGUUGGCCCUGGCAGUCGUAGCCAGCACCCAGGCUCUGACACCCACCCACUACCUCACCAAGUAUGAUGUGGAGAGACUGAAAGCCUCCCUGGAUCGCCCUUUCACAAAUUUGGAGUCUGCCUUCUACUCCAUAGUGGGACUCAACAGCCUCGGGGCACAAGUGCAAGAUGUCAAGAAAGCGUGCACCUUCAUCAAGUCUAACCUUGAUCCCAGCAAUGUGGAUUCUCUCUUCUAUGCUGCCCAGUCCAGCCAGGUCCUCUCAGGCUGUGAGAUAGCUGUUUCAAACGAGACCAAAGAUUUUCUUCUGGCAGCAGUAAGUGAAGACUCCUCUGUCACCCAGAUCUACCAUGCAGUUGCAGCACUCAGUGGUUUUGGCCUGGCCGUGGCUUCCCAUGAAGUUCUUGGUGCCCUUACUGCUCGUCUCAGCAAGGAGGAGACUGUGCUGGCAACGGUCCAGGCUCUACAGACAGCAUCCCACCUAUCCCAGCAGGCUGACCUGAGGAACAUCGUAGAGGAGAUUGAGGACCUGGUUGCUCGCCUGGAUGAACUAGGGGGCGUGUAUCUCCAGUUUGAGGAAGGACUGGAAACCACAGCAUUGUUUGUGGCUGCCACCUACAAGCUCAUGGACCAUGUGGGGACUGAACCAUCCAUGAAGGAGGAUCAGGUCAUCCAGCUGAUGAACACAAUCUUCAGCAAGAAGAACUUUGAGUCACUCUCAGAAGCCUUCAGUGUGGCCUCUGCUGCUGCUGCAUUGUCCCAGAAUCACUACCACGUACCAGUGGUGGUUGUGCCUGAGGGCUCUGCUUCUGACACUCAAGAACAAGCUAUCCUGCGGUUGCAAGUCAACAAUGUUUUGUCUCAGCCUCUGGCUCAAGCUGCAGUUAAGCUGGAGCAUGCUAAGUCUGUGGCUUCCAGAGCUACUGUUCUGCAGAAGAUGCCCUUCUCACUCACAGGCAGAGAUGUUUUUGAGCUGAACUUCAAGAAUUUUAAACUUUCCAGUGGCUACUAUGACUUUUCUGUCAGAGUUGAAGGUGACAACCGCUACAUUGCAAACACUGUAGAGCUUAGAGUCAAGAUCUCUACUGAAGUUGGCAUCACGAAUGUUGAUCUUUCCACUGUGGAUAAGGAUCAGAGCAUUGCACCCAAAACUACCCGGGUGACCUACCCAGCCAAAGCCAAGGGUCCAUUCAUCGCCGACAGCCACCAGAACUUCGCCCUGUUUUUCCAGUUGGUAGAUGUGAACACCGGUGCAGAGCUCACCCCUCACCAGACAUUUGUCCGGCUUCAUAAUCAGAAGACUGGCCAGGAAGUGGUGUUCGUUGCUGAGCCGGAUAACAAGAAUGUGUAUAAGUUUGAACUGGACACCUCUGAAAGGAAGAUUGAGUUUGAUUCUGCCUCUGGCACCUACACUCUCUACCUAAUCAUCGGAGAUGCCACUUUGAAGAACCCAAUCCUCUGGAAUGUGGCGGACGUCAUUAUCAAGUUCCCUGAAGAAGAAGCUCCCUCUACUGUCUUGUCUCAGAACCUUUUUACCCCAAAACAGGAAAUUCAGCACCUGUUCCGAGAGCCUGAGAAGAGGCCCCCGACGGUGGUAUCCAAUACAUUCACGGCCCUCAUCCUCUCUCCCUUGCUCCUGCUCUUUGCACUGUGGAUCCGGAUUGGUGCCAAUAUCUCCAACUUCACUUUCGCUCCUAGCACAAUUAUCUUUCACCUGGGACAUGCUGCAAUGCUGGGGCUCAUGUAUGUCUACUGGACUCAGCUCAACAUGUUCCAGACCCUGAAGUACCUGGCUGUCCUGGGCACUGUGACAUUUCUGGCUGGCAAUCGAAUGCUGGCCCAGCAGGCAGUUAAGAGGUGUUUCUCGCUGAUUUCACUUCAUUAGAGCCUGACUGACUUCAGCCACGCAAAGGCCAGUAAGAAAAGGAUCGCAGCAGAGCAGAGCAGUAGAUUGGCAAAAUAUAGGACACUACGAACAGCACAUUAGUUCCAGAAGAAGGUUGAAGGCCCUGAAAACUGAAAUGAAUGUUUAACAAGGAGUAGAGACAAUUCAUAGUGUGAAAAGAGGAAUGAUGGUAAAACAAAACAGAAAGUGAAAAAAAAUCUGUUAUUUAAAAAGAACAAAGUUGAGACGUGGUUACGCUUUUAUUUGUUUUUUACUUUCUGCUUCACAGAGCAGGUAUGUCUGGGCUCACGUUGUCUGUCCCUUUGUCAUGAUGCCUGGCAAGAUGCUGUGAAUACCCCAGAUGUUGCAUUUGAAAGAUUGAAGUCUGUAAUUCAUCUGCCUGAAUAAAGAGAAUGGUGAUAGAAAUGAA